GUGCCAGCCGCUGCGGUAAUACGAAGGGGGCUAGCGUUGCUCGGAAUGACUGGGCGUAAAGGGCGUGUAGGCGGUUUGUACAGUCAGAUGUGAAAUCCCCGGGCUUAACCUGGGAGCUGCAUUUGAGACGUGCAGACUAGAGUGUGAGAGAGGGUUGUGGAAUUCCCCAGUGUAGAGGUGAAAUUCGUAGAUAUUGGGAAGACACCGGUGGCGAAGGCGGCAACCUGGCUCAUUACUGACGCUGAGGCGCGAAAGCGUGGGGAG
Molecule: ribosomal RNA, 264 nt
Filed under: uncultured Acetobacter sp.
Lineage: Bacteria; Pseudomonadati; Pseudomonadota; Alphaproteobacteria; Acetobacterales; Acetobacteraceae
Description: partial 16S ribosomal RNA
Rfam family: Bacterial small subunit ribosomal RNA
Source: RNAcentral